GAAGUUAAGCAAAUCCCAAAAUAAACGUCUCAGUUCGGAUUGUAGUCUGCAACUCGACUACAUGAAGCUGGAAUCGCUAGUAAUCGCAGAUCAGAAUGCUGCGGUGAAUACGUUCCCGGGUCUUGUACACACCGCCCGUCACACCAUGAGAGUUGGAGAUACCCGAAGCCUAUGAGCUAACUUUUAGAGGCAGUAGUCGAAGGUAGAAUCAAUGAUUGGGGUGAAGUCGUAACAAGGUAGC
RNAcentral lists this ribosomal RNA (241 nucleotides) under uncultured bacterium. Its description in RNAcentral is "partial 16S ribosomal RNA". It matches the Rfam family "Bacterial small subunit ribosomal RNA", at positions 1259 to 1500 of the family's 1533-position model. The record is from RNAcentral.